GCAAGCGAGGUGGGCAAGGAGGGGGUGUUACUCCAUUCACUCAUUUCCCUUAAGCUGCCAUUUUCUGCCUAGCAGGGCAAGGACACACAACUCCUUCGAUCUUACUUUUUUUUCCUGGUGCCUGUUCCUGUCUCAGGUAGGGCAGAGCAUGGUUCCUCCAGUCUCUCUUUCUCAGACUCCCCAGUGCUCCUUAACCUUUUGAGUUCCUCCCACAGCUCUGCUCCUCAGUUUGGGCUGAGCACAUCACCCACCUCGUCACCCCUCACACAGCUCUUCUCACCACACCAAUGAAGGCUCUGGCACGUCCUUUGUCUGCCUCUUCUGGGAGCUCUGCCAGGGCUGCUACAAUUGUCCUGGUCGGUGCAGAGGACACAGCUCUGCUGAGGGGACACCACAGCCCAGAAGGAAAUUGUGAAGUCUUAAGGAUUUUGAGGUACACCAAAGCUCUUCCAUGGACUCAGAUACUCUUCAUCUAAUUUAUGAGCUUUUGUCUCAAUUAUACAUACAAACCAGUGCUGACCAAGGGAUGCAGCAAAGCCCUGCUGACAGAGGGACUGAGAAGAAUUCAAAUCACCCAGCAAGUAAGCCAAGUAAGUACUGAAACCAACAGCAGCAGGAUCAACCAUUACCUGGAAACCAGAAGCAAUAUUAAAACAAAAAAUGAGAAACCUUUGAGAUCUUCUUUCUAUAAAUUCUUCUUUUGUCUCCAAAUAAUGUGAUGCAAAAUCCUGUGGCUCUGUUUUAUACCUGAGUUUUGGUAGGUGGUCCUCAAGUCAGACAUAAGUCAUCUGCACCCCAAAGAUCUGUCACUUUAAUUGAGGAUAUGGAAAAGCAAUAUUCAAACCUAGCAGAGAAAGAAACUGAACCUAAGGGCUCUUGCAUGUAGGAGAACAAGGAAGAAGGUUGCUCACUGGGCUAGAGGCUUAUUGGGCUCUAGUCAAAGA
Molecule: long non-coding RNA, 944 nt
Organism: Lepidothrix coronata (blue-crowned manakin)
Lineage: Eukaryota; Metazoa; Chordata; Aves; Passeriformes; Pipridae
Exons: 3
Source: RefSeq, a predicted model, not a curated record